GCAACCUGCCCAAAAGAGGGGGAUAACACUUGGAAACAGGUGCUAAUACCGCAUAACCAUAGUUACCGCAUGGUAACUAUGUAAAAGGUGGCUAUGCUACCGCUUUUGGAUGGCCCGCGACGCAUUAGCUAGUUGGUGGGGUAAAGGCUUACCAAGGCAAUGAUGCGUAGCCGAACUGAGAGGUUGAUCGGCCACAUUGGGACUGAGACACGGCCCAAACUCCUACGGGAGGCAGCAGUAGGGAAUCUUCCACAAUGGGCGAAAGCCUGAUGGAGCAACGCCGCGUGGGUGAAGAAGGUCUUCGGAUCGUAAAACCCUGUUGUUAGAGAAGAAAGUGCGUGAGAGUAACUGUUCACGUUUCGACGGUAUCUAACCAGAAAGCCACGGCUAACUACGUGCCAGCAGCCGCGGUAAUACGUAGGUGGCAAGCGUUAUCCGGAUUUAUUGGGCGUAAAGAGAACGCAGGCGGUCUUUUAAGUCUGAUGUGAAAGCCUUCGGCUUAACCGGAGUAGUGCAUUGGAAACUGGGAGACUUGAGUGCAGAAGAGGAGAGUGGAACUCCAUGUGUAGCGGUGAAAUGCGUAGAUAUAUGGAAGAACACCAGUGGCGAAAGCGGCUCUCUGGUCUGUAACUGACGCUGAGGUUCGAAAGCGUGGGUAGCAAACAGGAUUAGAUACCCUGGUAGUCCACGCCGUAAACGAUGAAUGCUAAGUGUU
This 715-nucleotide ribosomal RNA is filed under the name uncultured bacterium. Its description in RNAcentral is "bacterial SSU rRNA". It matches the Rfam family "Bacterial small subunit ribosomal RNA", at positions 121 to 824 of the family's 1533-position model. The record is from RNAcentral.